CAGCACUUCAGUGAGGAUAAGAAGAACCAUAAAACCUGCAAGUAUGGGAGAAAGGUUUGAAAGGCUAUGUAGUUUGCUAGUUGCACAGCAUUAGAGUCCCAAUAGAGUGUAGAAAGAUCACCCAAGAAUCAGCAAAGCUUAAAGUUAGGAGAUUCUACAGAGCAGAAGACGUAUCAAAAUCAAAAUCAUACAGUUCUGAUGUAAAAGAUGUAAGAGCUGUUUUUAUAGAACAGCAGCAGUGUGGUUGGCAUCUAUUAUUUCCCAACUUUUGUUGUAUUUAUUUGGACGUUUUGUAGCUACUUUCUCAAAAAAGUAUCGCA
RNAcentral lists this long non-coding RNA (320 nucleotides) under Elaeis guineensis (African oil palm). RNAcentral's name for it is "long non-coding RNA (EGUI_LNC078305)". The record is from RNAcentral. Lineage: Eukaryota; Viridiplantae; Streptophyta; Magnoliopsida; Arecales; Arecaceae.